This 537-nucleotide long non-coding RNA is filed under the name Zea mays. Its description in RNAcentral is "long non-coding RNA (ZMAY_LNC005216)". The record is from RNAcentral. Lineage: Eukaryota; Viridiplantae; Streptophyta; Magnoliopsida; Poales; Poaceae.
AAGAAUUCAUCGGUGCUACUAUUAAUGAGUGCAAUAGAAAUACUCCGGUAAGCAACAAAAAUCUGCACAAAUCUUUUUUAUACAUGUUUGAGAAUAUCAGCUGUACAUAUAUGAGUAUUUGGGGGGGGGGGGGGGGGGGGGGGGGGGGGGGGGCUGAACUACCAUCAUUUGCCCAUGUUGUUGCGUAAACGUAUCUGUGAAAGUACAUGUUUUGGGUGUGUGGGCAGCUCCAUCAUCCAUGGAUCAGGUGAGCCCCAAUUUACAGUCGAAGAAAGGAGACCCAUUAUAUCUUCAGUUCAGUGAGCUGUGAUCGAGUUCCAACCAUACCAGCCUCCAGGAUGUCUUCGUCGAACUUUGGGGGACUAGACGGCGUGCUGCUCGAGGGCGUGUGCGUGUCUGAUAGGAACACAUCCGAGUUGUUGUCAGACCAUUCUGCGGCGGUGGCGGCGGCAUCAGCAUCACCAGCUUCUGCAUCUCGGGGGAUUUCUGGAUUGGGUUCGACUUUGGUGUCAUCCACUUCGUGUUCCUCCUGUGCAG